RNAcentral lists this long non-coding RNA (326 nucleotides) under Homo sapiens (human). RNAcentral describes it as "HSALNT0252300". The record is from RNAcentral. Lineage: Eukaryota; Metazoa; Chordata; Mammalia; Primates; Hominidae.
CCACAUUGGACUGUAUUACAGAACAAAAACCCAAAAGCCCUAACCAGAAAGACAACUCAAGGGUGUCAAUCUGUUUCUCCCGUUUCUAGUUCAUUACUUUUACUCUUCACUGGAAGCAGUCACAUCAUUGCAUCAUCACUCUCUCCUUUACUGGACUGAGCAUUUCCAGAGGGUAAUGCAAUAGGACUGAGGUGAUGGGGCUGGGAAACCAGGUCCCCUGGAUCUAAUCUUGGCUCCACUGUACAAUGGGAUCAAUGUCAAGUUACUCCUCUUCAACUCAGUAUCCUCACCCAUACAAUCGGAAUAAUGGGGCCUACCUUCUGGAC